AGUAAGCAAGCGGCACCAUGAAGACCAAGGAGCUCUCCAAACAGAGAGGCCCUGCUGGCUGAGAUGGGUGUGGCCAUGAGGGAAGAUGGAGGAACUGUGGGAGUUUUCUCCCCCAAGUAGGCCUGCGUAGGACAAAGCAGCUAACGAGGCACUGCUCUGUCAGCUGUCGUAGGCAGGAGAAGAGGGGUCCUUUUAUGUUUCCAUAUAUCAAUGUGUGAAUCCUUCUCAACAGUAAUGUGACUUUGUGGAUUGAAAUAAAGUAUUUAAAA
Long non-coding RNA from Oncorhynchus tshawytscha (Chinook salmon), 269 nucleotides. RefSeq lists it as uncharacterized. The transcript has 3 exons. The record is from RefSeq and is a predicted model, not a curated record. NCBI's taxonomy places the organism in Eukaryota, Metazoa, Chordata, Actinopteri, Salmoniformes, Salmonidae.